UGGAGAUGGAAUGUAGCUGGCAGAGGCC
Molecule: non-coding RNA, 28 nt
Filed under: Mus musculus (house mouse)
Lineage: Eukaryota; Metazoa; Chordata; Mammalia; Rodentia; Muridae
Source: RNAcentral